RNAcentral lists this ribosomal RNA (3896 nucleotides) under Triticum aestivum (bread wheat). RNAcentral describes it as "partial small subunit ribosomal RNA". Lineage: Eukaryota; Viridiplantae; Streptophyta; Magnoliopsida; Poales; Poaceae. The record is from RNAcentral.
AUCUCCUCCCCUCGUUUCUCGCAUCGCCACCACCACACACUCACUGCCCUGCCUCUCCCACCCUGAUCCAUCCCCUCCACUCGUCUCUCGAAUCGCCGCCUCCACCCACUCACCACCCCGCCUCUCCCACAGCUCGCCGCUGGCAGCCUCUCCCCUCCCAUGUGCUUCCCACAGACCUCAGGCGGAUCCCCACCCAUCCAUCUCUCUCUCAUGCAACUUUUCUCUCUCUGUCGGGACACAUCUCUGCCGCCACAGAUGCCAGCCGAUUCCGGCGUUCUCCGGCGACAGCCGCCACCGCGCAACACCUUCCCAAGCUCACCUUGCUCCAUUGGGUCUUUUCCCCCGGCGGGAUUCGCCGCUCCUGGCCUUCAACUCUCACCCGCAACCCUCCAUGUGGCUAGGUUUCAGGCACGGUGGCACCUCCAUCGUAGGCGCGGCUCUGGCAACCCGGGGGCUCCUCCCCGACUCUUACCUCGCCCCCGCAUUCAACAAAGCCCCUUGGAUGGUGCUCCUCUCCCCGGUAGCCAUAGGGUGCUCGAGCUCCUCCUCCACACGCGCCAGGUGUUCUUCCUCGACCCGGACAGUGAGGGAUUCCUUCUGGGCAUAUACGCAGCGCCUGCACUUCUUUGAGCCAAAGCCAAUCGACGCGCAGAUUGUCAUCUCAUUUGGGUUUCUCAAUGGGAUCUCCAUUGGCCUCCACAACCUUUGCCUUGGCUUCUACCAGAUGACCAAGCUGGCUAUUAUACCGUUCACCAUGCUCUUGGAGACCAUCUUUCUGAGCAAGAAGUUCAGGUUGAUGUGUGCCGCUCAGAUGGAACCUUCGCCAGGGCCGCUAUUCCCAGCGGUGCAUCAACAAGUUCUGGAUGUCGCUGGGUUUAUUAAGCUGUUACUUGCCACUGUUCAAUUUUUUGAAAGAACAAUGUUGUAUUGAAUAUCUGCAAAAUUACACCUGCAUGUUCUUACUAGAGAAUUUAAGUUCUAGUUUGAAAGAAAAUUUAGUUCAUCGUGCACCAUUCUUUGUCUAGAGUGAGUGUGAUUAUCUGAAUUCACGUACAAGUACUGCAUUCCCUACUGCAUAUGUUUUGAGGAGACGCCCAGCAGCUGGCAGUAGUGGAUAUAUAGAUUCUUCCCUUGCUUUUAACUAAUUGCCUCAAACUGUACAUCCCUGGUUGACAGUCAUGAACUUUUAUUGUUGGUAAUCUAAAAUAUUCUGCAUAUUUAAGUGUCCAAAUACAGUCCAAAGAUAAAUCUUAGCUAUAAAUAUUCUGCAUAUAUAGUGUUCAAUUUGAUCAAUAAGAUCUGAGUUUGUUGUACUAUUAAUGGUGAUAAGAUUGCUGCUAGUAUAUUCUGUACAUUUCUUGUUUGGGGCUGGGCUAGAAAACAAUGUCUGAUUCGUUUAGCCGGUUGACAGGCUAAAACAACUAGCUAUAAAAUGACAUCAAGUUCUGGUUUACAUGCUAUUCUCGUCAUUCAUGCCGACAGACCUUUUGUUGUAGUGUUUAGAGUAGAUUGAGUUUGCUGGCUCUCCUUUGUGUUUCUGUUCUUAUUUUGGACAGAUGCUUGGGGUGCAUACUUUCUAGAAUCUGCAUUUGAAUUUGCAGUUCGCGUUGUCGAAGAGAAUUGUCGAUUGUUUGAUUGAUGUUCUGACUUUUAUGUGGACCAGACGUCCAUUCUCUAAAUCAUUAUUUUAAUCCCACUACCCUUUUUGUAUCCAUGUACUGUUUAUCUUGUUUAAGCAUUAAUCCAUACUUUUCUUUCAGCAAUGGCAACACAAGCAGGAACCUCGGCUACUCCUCAUUUAAGUCCCCAAGUGGUAGCUUUCUCUGUAUGCGGGAGUCACCAUCUAGGCAUGCUUGCUGCUUCACCAGAAUGUUGCAUUGUUCUUUAAUUGUCGAUUGUCUGUGUAGAUUGACUGUAUCGAGUUGAGGGCUUGAGGCAGGCAGUAGGUGAUUAGAACAACCACCUGUUAAGUAAGAUCGGGUGUAGUGUAUGCUUUGAACAUAAGCUUGUGCUGAUGCCAGUGUAGUGUAGUGUAUGCUCUGAACACAAGAUCCUUUACUUGCUCUGGUUUGGUUAAGACUGAUUAUACUCUUCUGAAUAUUGCUUCCAUAACUGAAACUUUUUCAAGUGCAGCAGUAGUGUAGCAAGUGCAGCAGUAGUGCACUGCUCUUGUUAGCAAGUGCGGCAGCAGUAGUAUAGGAGUAGUAGUGGAGGAGUAUGAAUACAAAAAUGAUCAUACAAAUCGCCAUGUUCUCACAUUCUCCUGGAUUUCAUUUACAUCAACUUCUCAAGAGAGGAGUACUCCUUUUUAGUAUUCUCAGUUUAAAGUAAAUUAAAUGAAAGGAGUACUCCUUUUCAGCAGUCUCAUUUUAAAGUAAAUGAAAGGAGUACAAAUGCAUUUACAAAUAAAGUAAAUGAAAGGAGUACAAAUGCAUUUACAAAAAUAUGGAUUAAUUUCACAUAUCCUCCUUUGAAAACAUAUGGAUUAAUUUUCAGUAGUCUCAGUUUAAAGUAAAUGAAAGCACACACACACACACACGUUUGUGGAUUCUACUAUAGCAGUAGUACUCUCUUUUCUGUGAAUUUAACUAAAACAUUGUGCUUGCUUUCUUGCUGGAGUACUUGAAUUGAAACCUUUUACUGUUAAUUAAAAAUAAAUGAAACAAUUUCAUUUAUUUUAAAAUAAAGAAACUUCUUCUUUUCUCUUCUUCUCUCUUCUUUGUGUUAAUUAAAAUUAUCUGAAACAUUUUUUGUUAAUUAACUGAAACCAUUUUACUAGACGACUUGCGGGCAGUAGUGCUUGCUCUUUGGUUUAAUUUUCUACUUGCUGUUUGGUUUAAUUUUCUGCAGUGUAGGAGUAGUCUAGUCCACUGCUCUUGUUCGCAAGUGCAGCAGCAGUAGUGUAGGAGUAUUCUUGCUCUCUUCUCUGCCCUCCAUAUGAAACAAGCAGCAGCAACAACAACAGUAGUGUAUGAUUAUUAGUGCUUCCCUUUAACUCCAAUUCCAGAAACAAAUGAAACCAAAUGAAACUUUUUCUUUAACUGAAACUUUUGUACUGCUGCUUUUGCAAAUCAAAUUCAUGUUGCUGCUGGUGCUUCUCAGUUUGGUUAGUGCUUCCCUUCUUGGUUGGCUAAACAUAUCAGUUUGUUUGAUUUGGAGCAUUAGAUGCUCUCCAUCAACGAUUGGGACCCCAUGCCUAAGCUGUUGAUUGCCUAAUUUCAUUCAUCGUCUCCAGAAUAUAUUCAUUUGAUUGCCUGCUACAUCUCCACUUAAAUACUCAUAAUGCUACUAUUUGGAUUUUGUUCUAUUGGACUGCCUAUAUAUCUCUUGUUGAAAUUGUGGUCUUGAUAUUUUGUUAAACCUGAGACAUCAUGCAUAACUAGCUCUUCGUGCUACUAGUGUUUCCUGUCAAGUAGUGUUUGCUUGGUGACAGGAUGUUGUUUUUUCCUUCCAAGUAUAAUGCACCUUUCAUGUAGUGAUGAUACUAUAUCUAUUUCAUUUCAUGUUUAUACCUCUUCCAGAAAAUGUACUGCACCUAUAGUAAUCAAUCUAACUUAUCCAUUUUAUUUUAUAGGCCUUCGAGUACAAGAGGCUGUUGCUUGACUAUAACAGCGAACACGACCAACAAGUUCUGCCAGCGUGGGGCAAGCGAUCGAGGUGGCUGCUGCUGCACAAUAGUUUUAGUUGAUGUUGCCACCAUGUUUUGGUGCCUCUGUAUUUUUUCUGAUUAUCUGUACACUUGAUGGAUCAUGCAGAUGUGCUCUUGUGAGUUUUCAUAGAGUGAUUUUUGGAUUUGAUCAUUUAAUUGUGAGAAUUAUUGAUUGUUGCUAUUGAAAUGUGUAAAAUUGAAAUCUGUGAAUGAAAAAGGCUGAAAGUUCGUUUAUUGGAUCGAAUAA